GACGAACGCUGGCGGCGUGCCUAAUACAUGCAAGUCGAGCGGACGAAUCGAAAGCUUGCUUUUGAUUCGUUAGCGGCGGACGGGUGAGUAACACGUGGGCAACCUGCCCUGUAGACGGGGAUAACACCGAGAAAUCGGUGCUAAUACCGGAUAACACGAAAUGUCGCAUGACGUUUCGUUGAAAGACGGCGCAAGCUGUCGCUACAGGAUGGGCCCGCGGCGCAUUAGCUAGUUGGUGAGGUAACGGCUCACCAAGGCGACGAUGCGUAGCCGACCUGAGAGGGUGAUCGGCCACACUGGGGCUGAGACACGGCCCAGACUCCUACGGGAGGCAGCAGUAGGGAAUCUUCCGCAAUGGACGAAAGUCUGACGGAGCAACGCCGCGUGAGCGAAGAAGGCCUUCGGGUCGUAAAGCUCUGUUGUUAGGGAAGAACAAGUAACGCAGUAACUGGCGUUACCGUGACGGUACCUAACGAGAAAGCCACGGCUAACUACGUG
Molecule: ribosomal RNA, 498 nt
Filed under: uncultured bacterium
Lineage: Bacteria
Description: partial 16S ribosomal RNA
Rfam family: Bacterial small subunit ribosomal RNA
Source: RNAcentral